Molecule: long non-coding RNA, 1379 nt
Organism: Topomyia yanbarensis
Lineage: Eukaryota; Metazoa; Arthropoda; Insecta; Diptera; Culicidae
Exons: 3
Source: RefSeq, a predicted model, not a curated record
UUUUUUGUUUGCUUUGUCAUCUGACGUCUAAGACCAAGUUCGAUCCAUCUCGACUAAUCCACACUUCAAAAAAGUAAGCUUUUGUGCUUAGGGUAUUUUUUUUGAAAUGGUUCUAAAAGGCCUAUUUUACAAUAAGCAAUGAAAAAAAGAUGGAUGGGUAAUGUCCAGGGGUGCCAAGCUUCCAGAUUUAUCUGGAUUCAUCAAGAUUUUCAAGCCUCGUCCAGACAUAAAGAUUUAUGUUUGUCUGAUCCAGAUUUUAGGGAAUUUGUCCAGAUUUAUCCAGACAAUUUGAAAAAUAACAAAAGUUUCAUAAACCACUUUUUGAGAAAGCUGGAAACACAACAUACCACCGUUUUUUCGUGAAAGUCAACAAAUUUUUUGCCGAAUUAUAUCAUCUAGAAGUUCCAGCAGUCCAAUAUUCUGGAAACUCUGAGAUUCAAAUUUAAUCAAUGUGAUCUAUGCUGAAAAUCAAGCAUUGGACAUUUCCAGAUUAGCAGCGCAAUCACCAAAUUUUUAGUAAGCCGAUAUAUUUACUAAUAUACAAGCAUGUUUUAUUAGUAAAACGUAACAAAUUAGCCAUCGGUGAGGAAUGCACCUUUUCCUAAAGAAUUUGGGUCAUCCAGACAAUUCCAGACUUUUUAAAAAAAUAUUACAGAUUUUUUGGAAAAGCACUUGGCAUCCCUGGUAAUGUCUGCGACAUAACCGGAGAAAUGUACACGUAUGCGAAAAACUACCAAAAGUUGAGCUCUUUUGACUCAAUCUCGGGGUAUCGUGGGAUAAGGUAAAAUUAGGUAAACCGUGUUGAAGGUAGUUUAUCUUUAACAACGGCAAGAACCACAACUCAUUGACUGGUUUUUUAUAUUCAACCUUGAAUUAUAUAUGCCUAAAUUUAAGUUGAAUCUACCUAAUUUUGAGUAUACCUCAAACAACUCAAAAGUACCUUAUUCCAUGGAAGGCCUCGACUGAGUCGAAUCUCUCUUUGUUUUUGACAACACUAUAAUACCGAGAGGUUCACUGAGCCAAAUAAUCACAUAUAUUUCAUGUGAAAAAGCACGUAAAUAUUAAAAUCGGCCAAUCACAUUAGAUUCAUGUGCAGCAGAUAACAUUCAUACCUACAUUGAUGAAUUUCAAAUAAGAUGCCAUUAAUUUUCAAGUGUAUAAUGUAUAUAUUCUAUGUGAUUGUCACAUACUUCAAACGUAACUUGCAAAAAACAAUCAAAACAGUCGGAAAUUCUAGAACAGUCAAUAAAAUUAUUUGAACAAUACGGAGCUGCAAGCACUAUUGGAACGCAAAAAGCUGGGAAAAAGUUCGGUGAUGUUUUCAAUAUAAUUGAUUCAUGGCGGAAAUAAUAUGCAACGGUUCUAAUUCGUAAUUGUUA